This is a small nucleolar RNA of Molossus molossus (Pallas's mastiff bat), 130 nucleotides long. RefSeq annotates it as small nucleolar RNA SNORA11. The record is from RefSeq and is a predicted model, not a curated record. Lineage: Eukaryota; Metazoa; Chordata; Mammalia; Chiroptera; Molossidae. The transcript has a single exon.
GGGGCAUUCUCAGAGCAAGGGGCCUUAAGAAAUGGCUCUUCAGUACACUACACACCAGACAGGAAUUUGGGGUCAUUGUGACAACGGACACAAAACUUGUGGCCUUCCUAUGAACAAACACCCUCCGUGU